GCUACGGGUGUCAGCAGUGAGGAAUAUUGGUCAAUGGACGCAAGUCUGAACCAGCCAUGCCGCGUGCAGGCAGACGGCUCUAUGAGUUGUAAACUGCUUUUGUACGAGGGUAAACGCAGAUACGCGUAUCUGUCUGAAAGUAUCGUACGAAUAAGGAUCGGCUAACUCCGUGCCAGCAGCCGCGGUAAUACGGAGGAUGAGAGCGUUAUCCGGAUUUAUUGGGUUUAACGUGUUCGUAGGCGGAAUUCCAAGUCAGCGGUAAAAUCGCGGGGCUCAACCACGCUCCGCCGUUGAACCUGGCGUUAUUGAGUGGGCGUGAAGUAUGCGGAAUGCGUGGGGUAGCGGUGAAAUGCAUAGAUAUCACGCAGAACUCCGAUUGCGAAGGCAGCAUACCGGCGCCCAACUGACGCUGAGGCGCGAAAGCGUGGGGAGCAAACAGGAUUAGAUACCCUUGUAGUC
This 459-nucleotide ribosomal RNA is filed under the name uncultured bacterium. RNAcentral describes it as "partial 16S ribosomal RNA". It matches the Rfam family "Bacterial small subunit ribosomal RNA", at positions 338 to 795 of the family's 1533-position model. The record is from RNAcentral.